RNAcentral lists this transfer RNA (74 nucleotides) under bacterium. Its description in RNAcentral is "tRNA-Gly". It matches the Rfam family "tRNA". From Rfam's summary of the family: Transfer RNA (tRNA) molecules are approximately 80 nucleotides in length. Their secondary structure includes four short double-helical elements and three loops (D, anti-codon, and T loops). The record is from RNAcentral. RNAcentral also lists the same sequence under 5 other names.
GCAGGUGUAGUUCAAUGGUAGAACCUCAGCCUUCCAAGCUGACUAUGAGGGUUCGAUUCCCUUCACCUGCUCCA